Cebus imitator (Panamanian white-faced capuchin) is the source of this 101-nucleotide unclassified non-coding RNA. It matches the Rfam family "Y RNA". From Rfam's summary of the family: Y RNAs are components of the Ro ribonucleoprotein particle (Ro RNP), in association with Ro60 and La proteins. The Y RNAs and Ro60 and La proteins are well conserved, but the function of the Ro RNP is not known. In humans the RNA component can be one of four small RNAs -- hY1, hY3, hY4 and hY5. The record is from Ensembl. Lineage: Eukaryota; Metazoa; Chordata; Mammalia; Primates; Cebidae.
GGUAGUCCGAGUGCAGUGGUAUUCACAACUAACUAAUCACAACCAUUUACAGAUGUAUUUGUUCCUUCUCCACUCUUACUGCUUCGCUUGACUAGCCUUUA